This 443-nucleotide ribosomal RNA is filed under the name uncultured bacterium. RNAcentral describes it as "partial 16S ribosomal RNA". It matches the Rfam family "Bacterial small subunit ribosomal RNA", at positions 338 to 795 of the family's 1533-position model. The record is from RNAcentral.
CCUACGGGAGGCAGCAGUGGGGAAUAUUGGGCAAUGGAGGAAACUCUGACCCAGCAACGCCGCGUGAAUGAUGAAGGUCUUCGGAUUGUAAAGUUCUUUUCUAAGGGAAGUAGAAAGUGACGGUACCUCAGUAAUAAGCCUCGGCUAACUACGUGCCAGCAGCCGCGGUAAUACGUAGGAGGCAAGCGUUAUCCGGAAGUACUGGGCGUAAAGGGUGCGUAGGUGGGUUGAUAAGUUGGUAGCGUAACUCCGAGGCUCAACCUCGGCACUACCACCAAUACUGGCGGACGUGAGUGCAGGAGGGGCAACUGGAAUUCCUGGUGUAGCGGUGGAAUGCGUAGAUAUCAGGAGGAACACCAGUGGCGAAGGCGAGUUGCUGGACUGUAACUGACACUGAGGCACGAAAGCGUGGGUAGCAAACAGGAUUAGAUACCCCAGUAGUC